UACGUAGGGUGCGAGCGUUGUCCGGAAUUAUUGGGCGUAAAGAGCUCGUAGGCGGUGUGUCACGUCGGCCGUGAAAACCUGCAGCUUAACUGUGGGCGUGCGGUCGAUACGGGCAUCACUGGAGUUCGGCAGGGGAGACUGGAAUUCCUGGUGUAGCGGUGAAAUGCGCAGAUAUCAGGAGGAACACCGGUGGCGAAGGCGGGUCUCUGGGCUAUAACUGACGCUGAGGAGCGAAAGCGUGGGGAGCGAACAGG
Molecule: ribosomal RNA, 254 nt
Filed under: uncultured bacterium
Lineage: Bacteria
Description: partial 16S ribosomal RNA
Rfam family: Bacterial small subunit ribosomal RNA
Source: RNAcentral